UAAUCUACCCCCAGGUGGUGGAUAACCUUCCGAAAGGAAGGCUAAUACAGCAUGGGACCACGACUCCGAAAGGGGUUGAGGUGAAAGUCGGCCUCUUCAUGAAAGCCGACGCCAGGGGAUGAGCCUGCGGCCCAUCAGCUAGUUGGUAGGGUAAUGGCCUACCAAGGCGAAGACGGGUAGCUGGUCUGAGAGGAUGAUCAGCCACACUGGAACUGAGGCACGGUCCAG
RNAcentral lists this ribosomal RNA (228 nucleotides) under uncultured bacterium. Its description in RNAcentral is "partial 16S ribosomal RNA". It matches the Rfam family "Bacterial small subunit ribosomal RNA", at positions 122 to 334 of the family's 1533-position model. The record is from RNAcentral.